GCGCCCCUGCGCUGAGCGAGCGGCGCAACAGUUGCCUGAGCCAACAUUUGUCGAGCGGGAGCCGAUCUUCCCCGCCCAUGUGCAGGCCCGCCGCGAGCGGGAAGCCUACGGACGGGGAGAGGCGCCCACCUGCUGAGGGCAGGGUUCGACAACUGCGCGCCAAUCCGCCAGCGCGGGGGUGCU
RNAcentral lists this non-coding RNA (183 nucleotides) under Zetaproteobacteria bacterium. Its description in RNAcentral is "6S RNA". It matches the Rfam family "6S / SsrS RNA". Rfam says of the family: E. coli 6S RNA was the first non coding RNA to be sequenced, but its function was unknown until recently. Lineage: Bacteria; Pseudomonadati; Pseudomonadota; Candidatius Mariprofundia. The record is from RNAcentral.